UAGGGAAUUUUGCGCAAUGGGCGAAAGCCUGACGCAGCAACACCGCGUGAGCGAUGAAGCCCCUUGGGGUGUAAAGCUCUGUCAGUGGGGAAGAAUAAAUGACUGUACCCACAAAGGAAGCAUCGGCUAACUACGUGCCAGCAGCCGCGGUAAGACGUAGGAUGCAAGCGUUGUCCGGAAUUAUUGGGCGUAAAGAGUUCGUAGGCGGCAUAUCAAGUCUGGUGUUAAAGACUGGGGCUCAACCCCAGAAGGGCACUGGAUACUGAUAAGCUGGAGUACAGAAGAGGCAAGGGGAAUUCCCAGUGUAGCGGUGAAAUGCGUAGAUAUUGGGAGGAACACCAGUGGCGUAAGCGCCUUGCUGGGCUGUUACUGACGCUGAGGAACGAAAGCCAGGGGAGCAAAUGGG
RNAcentral lists this ribosomal RNA (406 nucleotides) under uncultured bacterium. Its description in RNAcentral is "bacterial SSU rRNA". It matches the Rfam family "Bacterial small subunit ribosomal RNA", at positions 355 to 776 of the family's 1533-position model. The record is from RNAcentral.